UACGUAGGGUGCAAGCGUUGUCCGGAAUUAUUGGGCGUAAAGGGCUCGUAGGCGGUCCAUCACGUCGGGAGUGAAAAGCUGGGGCUUAACCCCAGUCCUGCUUCCGAUACGGGCAGACUAGAGUUCGGCAGGGGAGACUGGAAUUCCUGGUGUAGCGGUGAAAUGCGCAGAUAUCAGGAGGAACACCGGUGGCGAAGGCGGGUCUCUGGGCCGAUACUGACGCUGAGGAGCGAAAGCGUGGGGAGCGAACAGG
RNAcentral lists this ribosomal RNA (253 nucleotides) under uncultured bacterium. Its description in RNAcentral is "partial 16S ribosomal RNA". It matches the Rfam family "Bacterial small subunit ribosomal RNA", at positions 524 to 776 of the family's 1533-position model. The record is from RNAcentral.